AGAUGCUGUGACAAAAAUUGAGAAAGGUAUGCUGAGAUGGUUUGGACAUGUCGAGAGAAUGAAUGAAGAACGAUUGACGAAGAAAGUGUAUAAGGCCAGUGUGAAUGAAAGUGUUGGAAGGGGUAGACCUAGGCGGACGUUUCAAGAUCAAAUCAGGGACGUCUUGAAAAAAGGCCAGGUCAAGAGUACCCUAAACCGGAGAGCAUGUAUGAAAGGAAUAAUGAAAGUGGACGAAGCGAAAGAAGUAUGUAAAGAUCGUAGCAAGUGGAAAGAAGUGGUCUCCGCCUACCCCUACGGGAAAGAGGCGUGAUUUUAUGUAUGUAUGUAUAAACAUCAUCUCAUGUACCUACGUACAUAAACAUCAUCUGAGCGUGAUCCCGUACUCAAAGACUUCUUGAUUUUCGCCUUCUCUUGGCUGUAGGUACUUCUGAUGUUGUUGAUUUUUUUGUUUACAUCCUCGAGAGUGCUGUCGAAAAUAAAAGUUUCCACAAUCGCUGGAUUGCCGCAUUCCUCGCGUCUUUAUUUUUAUAUUCGCGUAAUUUUAGGUUCCAGAGAACUUCUUCUGCUUCGUAAAGUUCAAUAAAUCUAGUAGUAUCACACUCAGACCAUUUUUUUAUUGCACGAGACGCUUGUGAAUUGUUAUUCGCCGCCAUUUUGUUUUACAAUUGCGGCCAGAGCUAGCUCGGAACAAUAGAACGCGGUCCGAGUCAACCCAGAUCGGACGGCGUAGUCCGAGUGCGCUCGGAUUAUGGGCUGCCACAAUACGAGUAACGUCCGAGUGGGUAUCCAAGUGUGCUCGGUCCGAAGAUACUUUGAUUGUGUCAACGCGGCCUAAGCGAUCGCAAGAUAACCAGUGGUAUUCCUCAAACCACGGUUACAACCCUCAAUACAACUGAUGACGCUGUGCAUCACACUCCAUCAAGGAAGAGAAGACCACAUGUCAUUUUAAAGAAAAUGAAACUUUCACCUCAUUGUGCAAGUCUUUAUUGUGAAUUUACCAAAUCACGAAAGCAGCUUAACUUUGAUUUAAGAGCUAAAAGUGCAUUUUCACAGAAAAUCAUUUAUAAAGCUUACAGAGAAAAUGAACCCUAUUGCAAAGACAUUUUUGUGGAUGCAGAUUAAAUAGGCUUACAAUAAGUUUAAAACGAAAAUGAAAAAAAAAAUAAGAUAACAUGA
Molecule: long non-coding RNA, 1176 nt
Organism: Leptidea sinapis
Lineage: Eukaryota; Metazoa; Arthropoda; Insecta; Lepidoptera; Pieridae
Exons: 2
Source: RefSeq, a predicted model, not a curated record